UCAUCCUCAGUUCGGACUGGGGUCUGCAACCCGACCCCACGAAGCUGGAUUCGCUAGUAAUCGCGCAUCAGCCAUGGCGCGGUGAAUACGUUCCCGGGCCUUGUACACACCGCCCGUCAAGCCAUGAAAGCCGGGGGGCGCCUGAAGUCCGUGACCGCGAGGGUCGGCCUAGGGUGAAACCGGUGAUUGGGGCUAAGUCGUAACAAGGUACC
Molecule: ribosomal RNA, 212 nt
Filed under: uncultured bacterium
Lineage: Bacteria
Description: partial 16S ribosomal RNA
Rfam family: Bacterial small subunit ribosomal RNA
Source: RNAcentral